AGAGUUUGAUCCUGGCUCAGAUUGAACGCUGGUGGCAUGCUUAACACAUGCAAGUCGAACGGUAACAGGUCUUCGGAUGCUGACGAGUGGCGGACGGGUGAGUAACGCGUAGGAAUCUGCCAUCUGUGGGGGAUACCAGUUGGAAACGACUGUUAAUACCGCAUAAUAUCUGCGGAUUAAAGGUGGCCUUUGCGCUGCCGCAGAUGGAUGAGCCUGCGUUGGAUUAGCUAGUUGGUGGGGUAAGGGCCUACCAAGGCUACGAUCCAUAGCUGAUUUGAGAGGAUGAUCAGCCACAUUGGGACUGAGACACGGCCCAAACUCCUACGGGAGGCAGCAGUGGGGAAUAUUGGACAAUGGGGGAAACCCUGAUCCAGCAAUGCCAUGUGUGUGAAGAAGGCUCUAGGGUUGUAAAGCACUUUAGUUGGGGAGGAAAGCCUGUGAGUUAAUAGCUUGCAGGAAGGACGUUGCCCAAAGAAUAAGGACCGGCUAACUCCGUGCCAGCAGCCGCGGUAAUACGGGGGGUCCGAGCGUUAAUCGGAAUUACUGGGCGUAAAGGGUCUGUAGGUGGUUUGUUAAGUCAGAUGUGAAAGCCCAGGGCUCAACCUUGGAACUGCAUUUGAUACUGACAAACUAGAGUAUGGUAGAGGAAUAGGGAACUUCUGGUGUAGCGGUGAAAUGCGUAGAGAUCAGAAGGAACACCAAUGGCGAAGGCAACAUUCUGGACCAAUACUGACACUGAGGGACGAAAGCGUGGGGAUCAAACAGGAUUAGAUACCCUGGUAGUCCACGCUGUAAACGAUGAGUACUAGCUGUUGGAUUCGGUGUAAAGGAUCUAGUGGCGCAGCUAACGCGUUAAGUACUCCGCCUGGGGACUACGGCCGCAAGGCUAAAACUCAAAGGAAUUGACGGGGACCCGCACAAGCGGUGGAGCAUGUGGUUUAAUUCGAUGCAACGCGAAGAACCUUACCUGGUCUUGACAUCCUGCGAACUUUCUAGAGAUAGAUUGGUGCCUUCGGGAACGCAGUGACAGGUGCUGCACGGCUGUCGUCAGCUCGUGUUGUGAAAUGUUGGGUUAAGUCCCGCAACGAGCGCAACCCCUAUUGAUAGUUACCAUCAUUAAGUUGGGUACUCUAUUGAGACUGCCGCUGACAAGGCGGAGGAAGGUGGGGACGACGUCAAGUAUCAUGGCCCUUACGACCAGGGCUACACACGUGCUACAAUGGGUAUUACAGAGGGCUGCGAAGGUGCGAGCUGGAGCGAAACUCAGAAAGGUACUCUUAGUCCGGAUUGCAGUCUGCAACUCGACUGCAUGAAGUCGGAAUCGCUAGUAAUCGCAGGUCAGAAUACUGCGGUGAAUACGUUCCCGGGUCUUGUACACACCGCCCGUCACACCAUGGGAGUGGGUUGCUCCAGAAGUAGAUAGCUUAACGAAUGGGCGUUUACCACGGAGUGAUUCAUAACUGGGGUGAAGUCGUAACAAGGUAGCCGUAGGGGAACCUGCGGCUGGAUCACCU
This 1514-nucleotide ribosomal RNA is filed under the name Francisella orientalis. Its description in RNAcentral is "Francisella noatunensis subsp. orientalis 16S ribosomal RNA". It matches the Rfam family "Bacterial small subunit ribosomal RNA". Lineage: Bacteria; Pseudomonadati; Pseudomonadota; Gammaproteobacteria; Thiotrichales; Francisellaceae. The record is from RNAcentral.